RNAcentral lists this ribosomal RNA (463 nucleotides) under Engaeus sericatus. RNAcentral's name for it is "LSU rRNA". It matches the Rfam family "Bacterial large subunit ribosomal RNA", at positions 1930 to 2601 of the family's 2925-position model. The record is from RNAcentral. Lineage: Eukaryota; Metazoa; Arthropoda; Malacostraca; Decapoda; Parastacidae.
GCCGCGGUAUUUUGACCGUGCGAAGGUAGCAUAAUCAUUAGUCUUUUAAUUGAAGGCUUGUAUGAAGGGUUGGACGAGAAAUAAGCUGUCUUUAUUGGAAAAAUAGAAUUUAACUUUUAAGUGAGAGGGCUUAAAUGUUCUAAAGGGACGAUAAGACCCUAUAAAGUUUGACAUUUUAUUCAUUAGAAAAUAAAAUAAUUAAUUAAUUUUUAUUAGUGGGGGUAAUGUUUUGUUGGGGCGAUUAGAAUAUAAAGAAUUUAACUGUUUUAUAUUAAUACAAAGUUGUUUGAGUGUUUUGAUCCUUAAUAAAGGUAUUAGAGUAAAUUACUUUAGGGAUAACAGCGUAAUUUUUUUUGAGAGUUCUUAUCGACAAAAAAGUUUGCGACCUCGAUGUUGAAUUAAAGAAUUCUUUAUAGCGCAGAAGUUAUAAAAGAAGGUCUGUUCGACCUUUAAAUCUUUACAU